RNAcentral lists this transfer RNA (65 nucleotides) under Oides maculatus. RNAcentral describes it as "tRNA-Leu". It matches the Rfam family "tRNA". Rfam says of the family: Transfer RNA (tRNA) molecules are approximately 80 nucleotides in length. The record is from RNAcentral. Lineage: Eukaryota; Metazoa; Arthropoda; Insecta; Coleoptera; Chrysomelidae.
UCUAAUAUGGCAGAUUAGUGCAUUGGAUUUAAGUCCCAAAUAUAAAGAUUAAGCUUUUUUUAGAA